GUCAAUGGCCAUACCUCCCUGAAAGCAUCUGAUUUCAUCUAAUCUCAGAAGCUAAGCUGAGUAGGGCUUGGUUAGUACUUGAAUGGAAGAGUGGAGUAACAGAUAUUGGAGACU
Molecule: ribosomal RNA, 114 nt
Filed under: Carlito syrichta (Philippine tarsier)
Lineage: Eukaryota; Metazoa; Chordata; Mammalia; Primates; Tarsiidae
Source: RNAcentral